AUGAAACGGCCGCCACCACGCGAUGAAGCGGCGGCGGCGGGCAGCAGCGGAGGAGGGUUCAACAAGGGAAAGGGGAGGUGGGGCGGGAAGAAGCGGAACGAGCAGCGGCUGGGAGGCAGCGGCGGGGCGCUCUCCCUCGCGGCCUUCGCCAACGCCAAGUCCAGGAACACCGGCUACAACCCGGCACUCAUCAAGAAGCAGAAGGAGUUCUACAGGAAUGCUAAAUUGAUUAGCAAGUACAAGAAGUCGAAGAAGCACCAAAAUCAGUCAAACUAUCCUCCACUUCCAACCCCUGAGGAAGGAGGUGCUGAUGCAUCGGAUGUGCCAAAACCACAUGAUAAGAGGAAGAAGCGCACUUCACAAAGCUUGAAUGUGGAGUACGAGAAGAAACGUGUAGAGGAUGAGAAGGCAAAGAAGGAGCGGGAUGCGAUGAUACAGGCCAAGAAGGAGGAGCGAGAGAAGUCUGAAGCGAAGAGAAAGGAGCUUAGGGAGAAGAUGUUCAAGAGGACACGAUCCGGGCAGCCUGUGAUGAAAUACAGGAUCGAGCAUCUCUUGGAGACUGCACUAGAAAGCUCAAACAAGAGCCAAGGCUAG
RNAcentral lists this ribosomal RNA (594 nucleotides) under Triticum aestivum (bread wheat). RNAcentral's name for it is "partial small subunit ribosomal RNA". The record is from RNAcentral. Lineage: Eukaryota; Viridiplantae; Streptophyta; Magnoliopsida; Poales; Poaceae.